Molecule: ribosomal RNA, 497 nt
Filed under: uncultured bacterium
Lineage: Bacteria
Description: partial 16S ribosomal RNA
Rfam family: Bacterial small subunit ribosomal RNA
Source: RNAcentral
GAUGAACGCUGGCGGCGUGCCUAAUACAUGCAAGUCGAGCGAACGGACGAGAAGCUUGCUUCUCUGAUGUUAGCGGCGGACGGGUGAGUAACACGUGGAUAACCUACCUAUAAGACUGGGAUAACUUCGGGAAACCGGAGCUAAUACCGGAUAAUAUUUUGAACCGCAUGGUUCAAAAGUGAAAGGCGGUCUUGCUGUCACUUAUAGAUGGAUCCGCGCUGCAUUAGCUAGUUGGUAAGGUAACGGCUUACCAAGGCAACGAUGCAUAGCCGACCUGAGAGGGUGAUCGGCCACACUGGAACUGAGACACGGUCCAGACUCCUACGGGAGGCAGCAGUAGGGAAUCUUCCGCAAUGGGCGAAAGCCUGACGGAGCAACGCCGCGUGAGCGAUGAAGGUCUUCGGAUCGUAAAACUCUGUUAUUAGGGAAGAACAUAUGUGUAAGUAACUGUGCACAUCUUGACGGUACCUAAUCAGAAAGCCACGGCUAACUACGUG